Molecule: ribosomal RNA, 896 nt
Filed under: Escherichia coli
Lineage: Bacteria; Pseudomonadati; Pseudomonadota; Gammaproteobacteria; Enterobacterales; Enterobacteriaceae
Description: partial 23S ribosomal RNA
Rfam family: Bacterial large subunit ribosomal RNA
Source: RNAcentral
GUUCUCCCCGAAAGCUAUUUAGGUAGCGCCUCGUGAAUUCAUCUCCGGGGGUAGAGCACUGUUUCGGCAAGGGGGUCAUCCCGACUUACCAACCCGAUGCAAACUGCGAAUACCGGAGAAUGUUAUCACGGGAGACACACGGCGGGUGCUAACGUCCGUCGUGAAGAGGGAAACAACCCAGACCGCCAGCUAAGGUCCCAAAGUCAUGGUUAAGUGGGAAACGAUGUGGGAAGGCCCAGACAGCCAGGAUGUUGGCUUAGAAGCAGCCAUCAUUUAAAGAAAGCGUAAUAGCUCACUGGUCGAGUCGGCCUGCGCGGAAGAUGUAACGGGGCUAAACCAUGCACCGAAGCUGCGGCAGCGACGCUUAUGCGUUGUUGGGUAGGGGAGCGUUCUGUAAGCCUGCGAAGGUGUGCUGUGAGGCAUGCUGGAGGUAUCAGAAGUGCGAAUGCUGACAUAAGUAACGAUAAAGCGGGUGAAAAGCCCGCUCGCCGGAAGACCAAGGGUUCCUGUCCAACGUUAAUCGGGGCAGGGUGAGUCGACCCCUAAGGCGAGGCCGAAAGGCGUAGUCGAUGGGAAACAGGUUAAUAUUCCUGUACUUGGUGUUACUGCGAAGGGGGGACGGAGAAGGCUAUGUUGGCCGGGCGACGGUUGUCCCGGUUUAAGCGUGUAGGCUGGUUUUCCAGGCAAAUCCGGAAAAUCAAGGCUGAGGCGUGAUGACGAGGCACUACGGUGCUGAAGCAACAAAUGCCCUGCUUCCAGGAAAAGCCUCUAAGCAUCAGGUAACAUCAAAUCGUACCCCAAACCGACACAGGUGGUCAGGUAGAGAAUACCAAGGCGCUUGAGAGAACUCGGGUGAAGGAACUAGGCAAAAUGGUGCCGUAACUUCGGGAGAAGGC